GGUCUGGUAGCUCAGGUGCGAAAGCAGAGGAUUGAAAAUCCUUGUGUCGGUGCUUCGAUUCCGCCCCGGGCCACCA
RNAcentral lists this transfer RNA (76 nucleotides) under Massilia psychrophila. Its description in RNAcentral is "tRNA-Phe". It matches the Rfam family "tRNA". Rfam says of the family: Transfer RNA (tRNA) molecules are approximately 80 nucleotides in length. Their secondary structure includes four short double-helical elements and three loops (D, anti-codon, and T loops). Lineage: Bacteria; Pseudomonadati; Pseudomonadota; Betaproteobacteria; Burkholderiales; Oxalobacteraceae. The record is from RNAcentral.